Oncorhynchus keta (chum salmon) is the source of this 366-nucleotide long non-coding RNA. RefSeq lists it as uncharacterized. Lineage: Eukaryota; Metazoa; Chordata; Actinopteri; Salmoniformes; Salmonidae. The transcript has 3 exons. The record is from RefSeq and is a predicted model, not a curated record.
CAGGAUGCUCCUGUCUCCUCACCUAUAAUGAGGUUAAAAACCUUCCCUUUAAACAGGAUGCCCUUGUCUCCUCACCUAUAAUGAGGUUAAAAACCCUCCCUUUAACCUCAUGCCUUUGUCUCCUCACCUAUAAUAAGGUUAAAAACCUUCCCUUUAAACAGGAUGCCCUUGUCUCCUCACCUAUAAUGAGGUUAAAAACCUUCCCUUUAACCUCAUGCCCUUGUCUCCUCACCUAUAAUAAGGUUAAAAACCUUCCCUUUAACCUCAUGCCCUUGUCUCCUCACCUAUAAUAAGGUUAAAAACCUUCCCUUUAACCUCAUGCCCUUGUCUCCUCACCUAUAAUGAGGUUAAAAACCUUCCCUUUAA